Molecule: ribosomal RNA, 439 nt
Filed under: uncultured bacterium
Lineage: Bacteria
Description: partial 16S ribosomal RNA
Rfam family: Bacterial small subunit ribosomal RNA
Source: RNAcentral
CUACGGGAUGCAGCAGUGGGGAAUCUUGGACAAUGGGCGCAAGCCUGAUCCAGCCAUGCCGCGUGAGUGAUGAAGGCCUUAGGGUCGUAAAGCUCUUUCGCCGGGGAUGAUAAUGACAGUACCUGGUAAAGAAACCCCGGCUAACUCCGUGCCAGCAGCCGCGGUAAUACGGAGGGGGUUAGCGUUGUUCGGAAUUACUGGGCGUAAAGCGCGCGUAGGCGGACCAGAAAGUUGGGGGUGAAAUCCCGGGGCUCAACCCCGGAACGGCCUCCAAAACUCUUGGUCUUGAGUUCGAGAGAGGUGAGUGGAAUUCCGAGUGUAGAGGUGAAAUUCGUAGAUAUUCGGAGGAACACCAGUGGCGAAGGCGACUCACUGGCUCGAUACUGACGCUGAGGUGCGAAAGUGUGGGGAGCAAACAGGAUUAGAUACCCUGGUAGUC